AACGUAGGAGACGAGCGUUAUCCGGAUUUACUGGGCGUAAAGCGCGUGCAGGCGGCAUGGCAAGUUGGAUGUGAAAGCUCCCGGCUUAACUGGGAGAGGUCGUUCAAUACUGCCAGGCUUGAGAGUGGUAGAGGGAAGCGGAAUUCCGGGUGUAGUGGUGAAAUGCGUAGAUAUCCGGAGGAACACCAGUGGCGAAAGCGGCUUCCUGGCCCAUUUCUGACGCUCAGACGCGAAAGCUAGGGUAGCAAACGGG
This 253-nucleotide ribosomal RNA is filed under the name uncultured bacterium. RNAcentral's name for it is "partial 16S ribosomal RNA". It matches the Rfam family "Bacterial small subunit ribosomal RNA", at positions 524 to 776 of the family's 1533-position model. The record is from RNAcentral. RNAcentral also lists the same sequence under 2 other names.